AAGAGACUGACCAGUACAAAUUGCAUGGAAGUCAGCUGACGGUGUAAUAAAGACUGUUAUAUGGUUUAUAUUGUUCAAUUGGCACCUACAAUGUAAUCUGAGUACAUAAAAAACACAAAUUUUAUUAUUAUAUCAUAUGUUUAAUUUAUUUAGUGAAAAAAUUGAAUACAUUGUAGUGCAAUAACAAAAGAAUAUCACUCAAAGUGAUAGGAUCACGAAUAAAGCUGUAUAUAAAGAUGUA
This is a long non-coding RNA of Drosophila eugracilis, 241 nucleotides long. RefSeq lists it as uncharacterized. Lineage: Eukaryota; Metazoa; Arthropoda; Insecta; Diptera; Drosophilidae. The record is from RefSeq and is a predicted model, not a curated record. The transcript is spliced from 2 exons.